This 492-nucleotide ribosomal RNA is filed under the name uncultured bacterium. RNAcentral's name for it is "partial 16S ribosomal RNA". It matches the Rfam family "Bacterial small subunit ribosomal RNA", at positions 29 to 507 of the family's 1533-position model. The record is from RNAcentral.
AGUGAACGCUGGCGGUAGGCUUAACACAUGCAAGUCGAACGGCAGCACAGUAAGAUCGUGCUCUUACGGGGGGCGAGUGGCGGACGGGUGAGGAAUAUAUCGGAAUCUACUUUUUCGUGGGGGAUAACGUAGGGAAACUUACGCUAAUACCGCAUACGACCUACGGGUGAAAGCAGGGGAUCUUCUGACCUUGCGCGAUUGAAUGCGCCGCUGUCGGAUUAGCUAGUUGGCGGGCUAAAGGCCCACCCGGGCGACGAUCCGUAGCUGGUGUGAGAGGAUGGUCAGCCACACUGGAACUGGGCCACGGACAAGGCUACUGAGAGAAGCAGCAGUGUGGAAUGUUAGACAGUGGUGGCGAGCCUGAUCCAGUGAGACGGCGUCGGAGAAAGAGACGUUCCGUUUGUGAAGCCCUUUUGUGGGGAGAAAAAAGCAGUAGGUUAAUACGCCGCGGUUGUGACGGUACCCGAAGAAGAAGCACCGGCUAACUUCGUG